UUAUUGUUAUUACAGUAUUAGAGAUUGCUAGCUUGGCUUUGCCUUGCAAGUCCUGUAAGAGCCUCCCUUGGUAUUCAGCUACCGGAAUCGAAGCAACAGAAGUGUUUGAGUUACCAAAUCUCUUUGGAAGCAGUAGAGAUUCACUAUAUCCAUCAUCAUUUAUCUUCUUCAUUGUAUUCUUCAUUCAUAGGCAAAGAGAUCUCAUCAAAGCUUUUGAUUUCCUUAGAGAUAUCUUUACAUUUUUUUCUUCCAAGCCAGCCAUGAUGCUCUGUUGCUAUUGGCGGAAGAUCCAACGUACAUUGGACCUUGAAUUCCAUCUAAAGCUCUCAUACCAACAUGAAAGAAGAUAGUGUUGUGGUUUGCAUAACGAUCACUCGAGUCGAUACCUUCAAACUUUCUGAGGGAACUGAACAUAGCAGAUUCUAUCACCACCACGAUCAAGCAUGAAGCAUAUUCCUUCCCUCAAAGCCAUGGGGUUGUAAAUGUAGUACGUGGUAAGAAUCAAGAUGGAGAAUGAAUGGGCCAUUAAGCAUUCAUGGCUACUGCUUUCUUGUUGUGAUCAUCAUAUCAAGGAACGGUACAUAGAGUAGCAAUGGUAGCCUGAUGUUAACUGCAUUAUAGUAGAUGUUACUUGCUAGGUAGGUUGGGUUGAAAGUACUUGAAAGUAAGGAACAUGUAAAGAACUGGUUUUAUUUAAUUUUGGUUCUUAACAGGGUAAUUUGAAACCCAUGUAGCCACCAGAGACAAAAUCAUUCCAAACAUUAAGAGCUCCAUGGGUCGUCAUCAGUACAGUGCUAAGUGCCAUGACGAUACCAACGGCAAACACAAUGAUCGAAGCCCUCCCAUACUUGGCUAUAACCU
RNAcentral lists this long non-coding RNA (861 nucleotides) under Arabidopsis lyrata. Its description in RNAcentral is "long non-coding RNA (ALYR_LNC002986)". Lineage: Eukaryota; Viridiplantae; Streptophyta; Magnoliopsida; Brassicales; Brassicaceae. The record is from RNAcentral.